GACGAACGCUGGCGGCGUGCUUAACACAUGCAAGUCGAGCGGAGCGGCGAACGGGCGAGGAACGCGUGAGUAACUGCCCCCCUCUCUGGGAUAACAGUUGGAAACGGCUCCUAAUACCGGAUAAAGGGGGAUGGCUCGGGGCGUAUCAGCUUGUUGGUGGGGGGAUGGCCUACCAAGGCGGUGCCGGGUAGUCGGCCUGAGAGGGUGACCGGCAACAUUGGGCUGAGAUACGGCCCAGACUCCUACGCGAGGGAGCAGUGGGGGAUAUUGCACAAAGGGCGAAAGCCUGAUGCAGCGACGCCGCGUGGGGGAUGAAGGCUUUCGGGUUGUAAACCUCUUUCGCUAUCGAAAGGGUAGGUGGAGAAGAAGCGCCGGCUAACUACGUGCCAGCAGCCGCGGUAAUAC
This 405-nucleotide ribosomal RNA is filed under the name uncultured bacterium. Its description in RNAcentral is "partial 16S ribosomal RNA". It matches the Rfam family "Bacterial small subunit ribosomal RNA", at positions 28 to 526 of the family's 1533-position model. The record is from RNAcentral.